GCGGUUUUCCCGCAAGGGAAAACUGAGUGGCGAACGGGUGAGUAACACGUGGGUGACCUACCUUCGAGUGGGGGAUAACGUCCCGAAAGGGACGCUAAUACCGCAUAACAUCCUGCUCUUGAACGAGUGGAGAUCAAAGCCGGGGAUCGCAAGACCUGGCGCUUGAUGAGGGGCCCGCGUCCGAUUAGCUAGUUGGUGAGGUAAUGGCUCACCAAGGCAACGAUCGGUAGCCGGCCUGAGAGGGCGGACGGCCACACUGGGACUGAGACACGGCCCAGACUCCUACGGGAGGCAGCAGUGGGGAAUUGUUCGCAAUGGGCGCAAGCCUGACGACGCAACGCCGCGUGGAGGAUGAAGGUCUUCGGAUUGUAAACUCCUGUUGCCAGGGACGAAUGGCCACGACCUAACACGUCGUGGUGUGACGGUACCUGGUGAGGAAGCCCCGGCUAACUCUGUGCCAGCAGCCGCGGUAAUACAGAGGGGGCAAGCGUUGUUCGGAAUUACUGGGCGUAAAGGGCGCGUAGGCGGCCUGUUAAGUCGAACGUGAAAUCCCCGGGCUCAACCCGGGAACUGCGUCCGAUACUGGCAGGCUUGAAUUCGGGAGAGGGAUGCGGAAUUCCAGGUGUAGCGGUGAAAUGCGUAAAUAUCUGGGAGGAACACCGGUGGCGAAGGCGGCAUCCU
This 681-nucleotide ribosomal RNA is filed under the name uncultured Bacillota bacterium. RNAcentral's name for it is "bacterial SSU rRNA". It matches the Rfam family "Bacterial small subunit ribosomal RNA", at positions 68 to 730 of the family's 1533-position model. Lineage: Bacteria; Bacillati; Bacillota. The record is from RNAcentral.